AUUGAACGCUGGCGGAAUGCUUUACACAUGCAAGUCGAACGGCAGCACGGGGGCAACCCUGGUGGCGAGUGGCGAACGGGUGAGUAAUACAUCGGAACGUGCCCGGUCGUGGGGGAUAACGUAGCGAAAGUUACGCUAAUACCGCAUACGAUCUGAGGAUGAAAGCGGGGGACCUUCGGGCCUCGCGCGAUCGGAGCGGCCGAUGUCAGAUUAGGUAGUUGGUGGGGUAAAGGCCUACCAAGCCGACGAUCUGUAGCUGGUCUGAGAGGACGACCAGCCACACUGGGACUGAGACACGGCCCAGACUCCUACGGGAGGCAGCAGUGGGAAUUUUGGACAAUGGGCGCAAGCCUGAUCCAGCCAUUCCGCGUGCAGGACGAAGGCCUUCGGGUUGUAAACUGCUUUUGUAUGGAACGAAAAGGCUCUGGCUAAUACCUGGGGCUCAUGACGGUACCGUAAGAAUAAGCACCGGCUAACUACGUG
RNAcentral lists this ribosomal RNA (483 nucleotides) under uncultured bacterium. RNAcentral's name for it is "partial 16S ribosomal RNA". It matches the Rfam family "Bacterial small subunit ribosomal RNA", at positions 30 to 507 of the family's 1533-position model. The record is from RNAcentral.